Molecule: ribosomal RNA, 496 nt
Filed under: uncultured bacterium
Lineage: Bacteria
Description: partial 16S ribosomal RNA
Rfam family: Bacterial small subunit ribosomal RNA
Source: RNAcentral
GAUGAACGCUGGCGGCGUGCCUAAUACAUGCAAGUCGAGCGAACGGACGAGAAGCUUGCUCCUCUGACGUUAGCGGCGGACGGGUGAGUAACACGUGGAUAACCUACCUAUAAGACUGGGAUAACUUCGGGAAACCGGAGCUAAUACCGGAUGAUAUUUUGAACCGCAUGGUUCAAUAGUGAAAGACGGUCUUGCUGUCACUUAUAGAUGGAUCCGCGCGGCAUUAGCUAGUUGGUAAGGUAACGGCUUACCAAGGCAACGAUGCAUAGCCGACCUGAGAGGUGGUCGGCCAACCCUGAACUGGAACCACGUCCCGACUCCUACGGGAGGCAGCAGGAGGGAAACCUCCGGCAUGGGCGGAAGCCCUAAGGAGCAAAGGCGGGGGAGGUGAUAAGGUCUUCGGAUCGUAAAACUCUUGUAUUAGGGAAGAAAAAAAGUGGAAGGAACCGUGGACCGCUUGACGGGACCUAAUCAAAAAGCCCCCGCUAACUUCGGG